AACGAACGCUGGCGGCAUGCCUAACACAUGCAAGUCGAACGAGACCUCCCUGCCUUUUGGCGCACGGGUGCGUACCGCGUGGGAACUUGCACUUAGGUUCGCUAUAACUCCCUGAAAGGUGUGUUCAUACCGCUUAAUGUCUUCCGACCAAAGAUGUCUUGCGUUUGGAUGGGCCCGCGUUGGUUUGGCCGGUUGGUAGGGUACAAGCCUAUCAUGGCGGGGAUCCAUAGCUGGUCUGUGAGGAUGAUCAGCCACACUGGGGCUGAGACACGGACCAGAAUCGUACGGAGGAGGGCAGUAGAGAAUAUUAGAGGAUGGGCGAAGACCUAGUCAAGCAGUGCCGGGUAAGUGAUGAAGGCCUUAGGGUUGUGAAGCUCUUUUAGCCGAGGUGAUAGUGACGGUACCGGGUAAAGAAGCUCCGGCUAACUCCGUG
Molecule: ribosomal RNA, 433 nt
Filed under: uncultured bacterium
Lineage: Bacteria
Description: partial 16S ribosomal RNA
Rfam family: Bacterial small subunit ribosomal RNA
Source: RNAcentral